Molecule: non-coding RNA, 73 nt
Organism: Trichonephila inaurata madagascariensis
Lineage: Eukaryota; Metazoa; Arthropoda; Arachnida; Araneae; Nephilidae
Source: the annotation of a GenBank genome assembly
AUCCAGGUAGCGCAAUGGAUAGCGCAUUGAACUUCUAAUAAGAAGGUCGGUGGUUUGAAUACUUCCUUGGAUG